This 253-nucleotide ribosomal RNA is filed under the name uncultured bacterium. RNAcentral describes it as "partial 16S ribosomal RNA". It matches the Rfam family "Bacterial small subunit ribosomal RNA", at positions 524 to 776 of the family's 1533-position model. The record is from RNAcentral.
UACGAAGGGGGCGAGCGUUGUUCGGAAUUACUGGGCGUAAAGGGAGCGCAGGCGGUUCAUUCAGUCAGGCGUGAAAGCCCUGGGCUCAACCCGGGAACUGCGCUUGAUACUGAUGAGCUUGAAAUCAGGAGAGGAUAGUGGAAUUCCCAGUGUAGAGGUGAAAUUCGUAGAUAUUGGGAAGAACACCGGUGGCGAAAGCGGCUAUCUGGCCUGAAUUUGACGCUGAGGCUCGAAAGCGUGGGGAGCAAACAGG